UGCUGGUUUUAAAGUAAGCAUCAUUUUACUACCACAAUUUCACCAGUGUUCUGAUUUUUACAUCAAAUAAGGGGCCAGAUUAGGCCAUUAACCUACCUUGUCCUUUACAGGUGAAAAACUGCACAAUUUGUAAAAUAUCCAAGUCAAUUUUGUGCAAAGACUAAACCCAUCUUUCCUAUUUUUAAAAUAUCAAAAGACUGCUUGAAUGUAAAAUUUAAUUACAGGAUAAAAUUUUAUGACUUGUAUACCGGUAUGUCUUCUUGUUCAUCUAUUUGUUAUGGUGUUCUGCAAGUUUCAUGCAUUUCAUUCGGCUCAGUAAAUCAAAAUUAAGUCAUUUUGUAUCUUGAUAUUCAUAAUAUCAUACCAAAAGAAUUUGAUGCAUUGCCAAUGAAAUUCAAGCAAACAGAAGCACGGGAAAUGAUGAGAGAGUCUUGAUGUUUUUAACCAAUAACUCCCAAAUUUUCUCCAGGGGUUAAAGUUUGUUUUCUACGUGCAUUUCUUAUUACUUGUUUGCUUCUUAUGUUUUACCAUCAGUUCAAACAAAUCAGUAGAUCAGUAUAAUUUACGUUCUAUUAGCCAUUUGUCAGUCCCCAUGAUCCAAUUUGUGUUUUUGUAUAUAUAAUAAACUUGGUAACUAUAA
Saccostrea cuccullata (small rock oyster) is the source of this 640-nucleotide long non-coding RNA. RefSeq lists it as uncharacterized. The transcript is spliced from 2 exons. The record is from RefSeq and is a predicted model, not a curated record. NCBI's taxonomy places the organism in Eukaryota, Metazoa, Mollusca, Bivalvia, Ostreida, Ostreidae.